GAAGAACUGUUUCAAUUCUAAAAAAAUUCAACACUAGUUUAUCAGUAGAGCAGUACAGAGCAGGUAUCUUUCGAGGCACAAAAACACACUAGUAAUAUAGUAGAUGAGUUGAACCAAAUAUGCAAUGCCAUAGAUAGAUGAUCUUUCGAGAAACAUAAUACAACGGAUUUGGAAGUUUGAAUGUCCUUUUCACACUUAGGAGCCCUUCAAAGCUGCUAUAUUGGUCUCCAAGAAUGCCCCAAAUGCGAUACUCGUUACCCCAUCCAAUUCAUCAUCUGAACCACUAUAUUAAACUAGAAGUAUAUGCAUUCCCUUGAAACAUAUGCAUACAACUUGGAGAAAGCAUGAAUGCUUGACACUGAAAAAGAGAGAUUCUGACGUCAAUACGAGACUAGCUGUUAUAACCAACAUCAACAAGGUUAUCCAUUAUGGCUGAUCUGAGAUGUUCUCUUCUAGAAGGAACCAAAAUGACUUGAACUUUCCUGGAUUUUAAGUCGUUGAAGAGCUUCAGAGAGUGUUCCAGGGCUGGUGCUUUGCCUUUACUCAUCCAUUCCUCAAGUGAUGUCAAGUUCAGCUACUCCCCACUGCCCACAAUGAAAGGCCUUUGUCACUCUUGUAAUCAAAUGAAAUGGAAAGGACCUAAGGGGAGAGUCAAGAGAGGUAACCAAAAUGGUGUUUCUUGAAACAAGGCACGGCAAUGUUCGUUUAAUUGAAGAACAGACGAUUUCUAUUAUUUCUGGGUACAUAAAUGAUUGAUUUUGGAAAGUGAAGCCUCCAAGUACACUGAUUUUUUCCAGCUCAAAUGCACAAUAUAUAAUUAGCAUUUUUAGAUAGAUUGAUAGCAGCAUCGCAAGUUGUAACCCAAUAACAUAUUACACAAUCACAAACUACGAAAAUCUAGCAAUUAGCGAAGCCUUCUACUAAACUAACCAGAGAUGGGCAAUCUUAUAACUAAAUAACAGAGGCACUUGUCACUUACAAAUGGAUGAUAAAAAAAAUGGGAUACCAAACAAAAGUAUUAUAACUCUAAAUCAAGGAGUCAUUUUUAAAAAAAAAAACCAAUCUUAAUAAGGAAAAAGGAAAAUCCAUGUAAACACGGUGCAUGUGUAUCCUUGAGGGGGUUAGAGAGAGAUGGAUGUAUCAACUACAUAACUUUGAAAUUCAUAAAAAUUAAUAACUUCGAAAUUUAUAAAAAUUAAAAACUUCAAAAUUUAUAAAAAUUAAAACCAUUACAAUUAUAACAAACUCUCAUCGCAUAAAUUCCAUGUGGUUAAUAACCGCCUGCAAAAUCCACAAGCAAAAAUUUGCUCAACUUUCAAGCAACAGUCUACAUCAACCCUAACGGCACAUGUAAAAAUGUGACAAUUGCGGUCCAAAAACAGGACCAAAAGAGUAGGUAGGCACUUAUACGAUAGCAUUUGCUGCACUUGCAAUCCUUGGCCACAGAUCAGCACAUUCCUUUCCAAUUGGACCAGUAAUUGCAGAUCCUAAAACAACAUAAAGGUGAUUGAGUAAGACUUAAGCCAGGACAACCCCCCAAGUUGAAUUAUAAAACACAAACCUAGAAGCAAUGUGAGAAAUACGAUCCUAUAGAUUAAGAAAAAUGAUUCCACCUUUAGUUAAUAGUUACUACUUGUUAACAUUUUAAAUUGCAAGGAAAUAUAGGUUAUUUGCACGUAAAAUGUGUACCUUUCAUUUCACCUUUAGGAUUCACAAUAACACCAGCAUUAUCUGAAAAUAAAGCACUUCUGAUUCAGAAACUUAAUCAAUAAAAUAUAUAAUAGUCAGCAAAUAGAAUAUUUGUAAUGCAUUAUCCCUACUAACACCAGAAACAUGCAAGCUUGACAAACUAAGUAAUGCAACCUGUUAAAAUAACCAGAAUGUUUACAACAGAUUCUAAGGACCCAAAUUGAACAGAUGCCAGCUUCAGAAAGCUAACACAUAAGAAUGCCAAUUUGCCAGAUAAGAAACUGUAAGUUGACUGCCAUACAGAAACCCACUGCCUUGUAUACGCUGAUACAACACAUUAACUAAUUAUAACCACAAAUAUGGUAUAACUAGUUGUGUUCUGACUAACCAGCAAAUACAAGCACCAAGAAGAAAAUUGCACAAAUGGCAAGCAGACACCUCUAUGUUGAAAAUAUUAAGAACUAUCCAACCUUGGCAGGUACAAUUUACGAACUUAAUGCAAAUGUAUCAAAUGUGCUCAAUAGAUUCAAAAUCAAAGAAACAAAUUGCCCUUUUUUUAAAGAAAAUGUAGCGUUCAAAUGGAGCAGAUAUGAGCUUUACAAGAGACUGCAAAUCUGUAACGAGGAACACAAUCAAUUUGCCAGACGUGUAACUGUAUCAACCACACAUAUAGGAGGAUACCUGACUUAUGUCUGGUGAUCUUUAUAUCAGAUAACUGCAUAAGUGAAUAAAUACUUUGACAACAGUUUCAGUGAAAAUUUUACUUGAAUUAUUUAAUGCCUGGUGAACCAUCAACACCUUAGUGCCAAAAGGAAGUAUUCCCGUUUAGGCAAGUAGACAUCUCUAAACUAAAAUAGAUAAAUAAAGUAAAUGGGUAUCCCAACCUUGACAGGGAUGAUAAUGAACUUACCAUCCGGAUUUGGGGUAAGGUCGGUGGUCUAAUGUUGCUGGGUAUGGGAAGUGUGGAGGAACAGUAAGGAAAAAAAUCCUCAACAACACAUCACCAGCAAAAAAGUGAACUUACCAUCUGGAUUUGGGGUAAGGUUGGUGGUCCAAGGACUAUAUCAAAACGCAAAAAGUGAGAUUCUACACUACAGUUGAGAUAUCCCACUCGAUAAAUUUUUGACUUUCUAAUUCACUAUUGCUGGUCUCAGGAAGCAUCUCAUCAUAGCACGCACAAAAACUUAGAAUCAAAUUAUGCAUGCAUCAAGACACAGCUUAACCAGCAACUUAUAUAAGCGUACUAAAUUUCUGUUCCUAAAAUCAACAAAACAUUCAAGUUUUGAGCUUCACUUGUGAGAUUCAACAUGGAUCAAUUACGCCAAAAAAAUUCUAUUUCCUAACAAACUAGGAUUGAACUUAUAAUCUUAGCACCACCAAGUCAAAUCCUCAAAAUAUGUAUAAGCAAGGUAUAGCUUCAGCUUCAGGCCAUCAGCACAACAGACAAGUUCAUUAAAAUAUAUGCAAGUUAUGAAUUCAAGCUAGAAAUAGUAGAAUCAUUGAUAACAUAAAUCAUCAACACACUAACGUAACAACCAAGCAAUCCACCUAUAAAUCAAGUAUCAAACCUAUUAAAUGCUCACGAGUUAGAUAUACUAAGUAAUAUAGAUCCCAGUAAACACAACAACAGUAAAAGAUAAUGACCUUCAAAGUACAUGUAGACUCCAUCCUUUCUGCGCCACGGCUUGCGCUGCCUAACAAUGACAGCGGGCAUGACCUUCUUCCUGAGAUCAGGCUUUCCUUUCUUAACAGUAGCCAUGACCAUGUCCCCAACACAAGCAGAGGGCAAGCGGUUCAAGCGACCCUUGAUUCCCUUCACCGAAAUGAUGUAGAGGUUCUUAGCACCAGUGUUAUCGGCGCAGUUCACGGUCGCCGCAACUGGCAGACCCAGUGACAUCCUGAACUUGUUACCCGCUGAUCCUCCACGUCCUGUACUAAGCAGCAAACAACCAAGUGAUUUUGUUUUACCAGGAAACAAAAAUAUCCGAAGGAAAUCAAACCAAACACAAGAUCUAUGAUCCUUUCAAUCUUUUUCAUGGUUCAAAAGCUAUGGAAAAUAGCAGAUAAUAGAAUAGAAAGCUAGACUGCUAAGCCAAAGAAUGAACAAAAAUAGAAUAGAAAGCUAGAUUGCUAAGCCAAAGAAUGAACAAACUGACCUCGCUUUGACAUUUUGAACAGCUGAAGGUGAAACGAAGUCUGCAAGUAGGGCUUUUAGGAAUUUAUAUAGAGAGCUCAGCAACUAGGGUUUUGUUCUUCA
Molecule: unclassified non-coding RNA, 3946 nt
Filed under: Hevea brasiliensis (rubber tree)
Lineage: Eukaryota; Viridiplantae; Streptophyta; Magnoliopsida; Malpighiales; Euphorbiaceae
Source: RNAcentral